This 403-nucleotide ribosomal RNA is filed under the name Fusobacteriota bacterium. RNAcentral describes it as "Fusobacteria bacterium partial 16S ribosomal RNA". It matches the Rfam family "Bacterial small subunit ribosomal RNA", at positions 355 to 776 of the family's 1533-position model. The record is from RNAcentral. Lineage: Bacteria; Fusobacteriati; Fusobacteriota.
UGGGGAAUUUUGCACAAUGGAGGAAACUCUGAUGCAGCGACGCCGCGUGAGUGAUGAAGAUCUUCGGAUUGUAAAACUCUGUCCUUAGUGAAGAUAAUGACAGUAACUAAGAAGCAAGCCCUGGCUAAAUACGUGCAAGCAGCCGCGGUAAUACGUAUGGGGCAAGCGUUGUCCGGAAUUAUUGGGCGUAAAGGGUACGUAGGCGGUUUAAUAAGUCCUAAUUAAAAGGCUAUGGCUCAACCAUAGUAUGGUUAGGAAACUGUUGAACUUGAGUAGAUGAGGGGAAAGUGGAAUUCCAUGUGUAGCGGUGAAAUGCGUAGAUAUAUGGAGGAACACCAAUGGCGAAGGCAACUUUCUGGAAUCAAACUGACGCUGAGGUACGAAGGCGUGGGGAGCAAACAGG